This 467-nucleotide ribosomal RNA is filed under the name uncultured bacterium. RNAcentral's name for it is "bacterial SSU rRNA". It matches the Rfam family "Bacterial small subunit ribosomal RNA", at positions 329 to 794 of the family's 1533-position model. The record is from RNAcentral.
AACCAGACUCCUACGGGAGGCAGCAGUGAGGAAUAUUGGUCAAUGGGCGGGAGCCUGAACCAGCCAAGCCGCGUGAGGGAAGAAGGUCCAGCGUAUCGUAAACCUCUUUUGUCAGGGAACAAAGGCGGGGACGUGUCCCCGGAUGAGUGUACCUGAAGAAAAAGCAUCGGCUAACUCCGUGCCAGCAGCCGCGGUAAUACGGAGGAUGCGAGCGUUAUCCGGAUUUAUUGGGUUUAAAGGGUGCGCAGGCGGCACGGCAAGCCGGCGGUCAAAUCGCGGGGCUCAACCCCGCCCAGCCGUCGGAACUGCCGGGCUAGAGUGGGCGAGAAGUGCGCGGAAUGCGUGGUGUAGCGGUGAAAUGCAUAGAUAUCACGCAGAACUCCGAUUGCGAAGGCAGCAUACCGGCGCUCAACUGACGCUCAUGCACGAAAGUGUGGGUAUCGAACAGGAUUAGAUACCCCCGUAGU